This 86-nucleotide transfer RNA is filed under the name Bacteroidota bacterium. RNAcentral describes it as "Bacteroidetes bacterium (activated sludge metagenome) tRNA-Tyr". It matches the Rfam family "tRNA". Rfam says of the family: Transfer RNA (tRNA) molecules are approximately 80 nucleotides in length. Their secondary structure includes four short double-helical elements and three loops (D, anti-codon, and T loops). The record is from RNAcentral. Lineage: Bacteria; Pseudomonadati; Bacteroidota.
GGGAGUGCGCCGGAGCUGGAGUGCCGGGGCGGUCUGUAAAACCGCUGCCCUCACGGGCAUAGCAAGUUCAAAUCUUGCCACUCUCA